This 444-nucleotide ribosomal RNA is filed under the name uncultured bacterium. RNAcentral describes it as "SSU rRNA". It matches the Rfam family "Bacterial small subunit ribosomal RNA", at positions 26 to 518 of the family's 1533-position model. The record is from RNAcentral.
AGAGCGAACGCUGGCGGCAGGCCUAAAACAUGCAAGUCGAACGGACCCUUCGGGGUUAGUGGCGGACGGGUGAGUAACACGUGGGAACGUGCCUUUUGGUUCAGAACAACUCAGGGAAACUUGAGCUAAUACUGAAUAAGCCCUACGGGGGAAAGAUUUAUCGCCAUUAGAGCGGCCCGCGUUGGAUUAGCUAGUUGGUGAGGUAAAGGCUCACCAAGGCUACGAUCCAUAGCUGGUCUGAGAGGAUGAUCAGCUACACUGGGACUGAGACACGGCCCAGACUCCUACGGGAGGCAGCAGUUAGGAAUCUUGCGCAAUGGGCGAAAGCCUGACGCAGCCAUGCCGCGUGAAUGAUGAAGGUCUUAGGAUUGUAAAAUUCUUUCAGUGGGAAGAUAAUGACUGUACCACAGAAGAAGCUCCGGCUAACUUCGCGCCAGCAGCCGC